Molecule: ribosomal RNA, 1360 nt
Filed under: Salmonella enterica
Lineage: Bacteria; Pseudomonadati; Pseudomonadota; Gammaproteobacteria; Enterobacterales; Enterobacteriaceae
Description: partial 23S ribosomal RNA
Rfam family: Bacterial large subunit ribosomal RNA
Source: RNAcentral
GAAUGCUGACAUAAGUAACGAUAAAGCGGGUGAAAAGCCCGCUCGCCGGAAGACCAAGGGUUCCUGUCCAACGUUAAUCGGGGCAGGGUGAGUCGACCCCUAAGGCGAGGCCGAAAGGCGUAGUCGAUGGGAAACGGGUUAAUAUUCCCGUACUUGGUGUUACUGCGAAGGGGGGACGGAGAAGGCUAUGUUGGCCGGGCGACGGUUGUCCCGGUUUAAGCGUGUAGGCUGACUUUCCAGGCAAAUCCGGAGAGUCAAGGCUGAGGCGUGAUGACGAGGCACCACGGUGCUGAAGCAACAAAUGCCCUGCUUCCAGGAAAAGUCUCUAAGCAUCAGGUAACAUCAAAUCGUACCCCAAACCGACACAGGUGGUCAGGUAGAGAAUACCAAGGCGCUUGAGAGAACUCGGGUGAAGGAACUAGGCAAAAUGGUGCCGUAACUUCGGGAGAAGGCACGCUGACACGUAGGUGAAGUGGUUUACCCAUGGAGCUGAAGUCAGUCGAAGAUACCAGCUGGCUGCAACUGUUUAUUAAAAACACAGCACUGUGCAAACACGAAAGUGGACGUAUACGGUGUGACGCCUGCCCGGUGCCGGAAGGUUAAUUGAUGGGGUCAGCGCAAGCGAAGCUCCUGAUCGAAGCCCCGGUAAACGGCGGCCGUAACUAUAACGGUCCUAAGGUAGCGAAAUUCCUUGUCGGGUAAGUUCCGACCUGCACGAAUGGCGUAAUGAUGGCCAGGCUGUCUCCACCCGAGACUCAGUGAAAUUGAACUCGCUGUGAAGAUGCAGUGUACCCGCGGCAAGACGGAAAGACCCCGUGAACCUUUACUAUAGCUUGACACUGAACAUUGAGCCUUGAUGUGUAGGAUAGGUGGGAGGCUUUGAAGCGUGGACGCCAGUCUGCGUGGAGCCAACCUUGAAAUACCACCCUUUAAUGUUUGAUGUUCUAACGUGGACCCGUAAUCCGGGUUGCGGACAGUGUCUGGUGGGUAGUUUGACUGGGGCGGUCUCCUCCUAAAGAGUAACGGAGGAGCACGAAGGUUGGCUAAUCCUGGUCGGACAUCAGGAGGUUAGUGCAAUGGCAUAAGCCAGCUUGACUGCGAGCGUGACGGCGCGAGCAGGUGCGAAAGCAGGUCAUAGUGAUCCGGUGGUUCUGAAUGGAAGGGCCAUCGCUCAACGGAUAAAAGGUACUCCGGGGAUAACAGGCUGAUACCGCCCAAGAGUUCAUAUCGACGGCGGUGUUUGGCACCUCGAUGUCGGCUCAUCACAUCCUGGGGCUGAAGUAGGUCCCAAGGGUAUGGCUGUUCGCCAUUUAAAGUGGUACGCGAGCUGGGUUUAGAACGUCGUGAGACAGUUCGGUCC